AUUCAGGUGUAUUUAUCCAAAUUCUUGUCAGAUUGAUGUCUACUACGAGCACUGUGCUGUUUGUGGUCAUCACUAAUGAUUUGGAAAUGAGAUGAAUGAAGCAGUCAUCACCGUGUAAGGUAUGAUCGCAGGAUUUGUCUGGAAGCCUUCAGGCCAAGGACUGGACCCCUCCAUAAUGUGAAUCCACUUGACCUCGGUGUUUAGUAUCAUUAAACCUGUUGGGUGGUUGGAAAAAUAAUUGUUUCUGUUACUGUUGAUUUGUGAUACUAAGGAACAUACAAGAUAAAAUCAAUUUGCAGGAGUGAAUCAGCAGUGGGGAAGAAGAAGGAAGGUCCUGAGGUGAUAUUCAUGUUCCAAUUUGGGCUGGUACGGGACUCAGUAACAGCUUCAUCCAGCACCCUGGGGUUCAAGAUUCUAAAGGAUCUUGCAUGUGACUUCAUAAAUAGGAAGGCUGCCCUUGGUUGUGUGGUUGUGGAUUUUGCACGCAAGGAGGAUCCAGUGGACGUCGACAAAUCAGAACUGGCAUCACAAGUUCUGACAAUAGCUGUGCUAUACAUCUUGUUAACUGGCACUUUCGGAGCAGUGGGGAUAUGUGUGGCUGGUCCUCGCCUCCUCCAGAGAACUGUGCCACAGCAGGGCCGUUGUUCACCAUGAAUAUUUCAUUACCCAGGCUGAUGCUGGAGGCAGCAAGGACCUCUGAAAUGUCUGUAAACAUCUACAAGACUACACGGU
This is a non-coding RNA of Zootermopsis nevadensis, 732 nucleotides long. Lineage: Eukaryota; Metazoa; Arthropoda; Insecta; Blattodea; Termopsidae. The record is from RefSeq and is a predicted model, not a curated record.